This 468-nucleotide ribosomal RNA is filed under the name uncultured bacterium. RNAcentral describes it as "partial 16S ribosomal RNA". It matches the Rfam family "Bacterial small subunit ribosomal RNA", at positions 28 to 507 of the family's 1533-position model. The record is from RNAcentral.
GACGAACGCUGGCGGCGUGCUUAACACAUGCAAGUCGAACGGAAAGGCCCUGCUUUUGUGGGGUGCUCGAGUGGCGAACGGGUGAGUAACACGUGAUUAACCUGCCCUGGACUUUGGGAUAACUUCAGGAAACUGGGGCUAAUACCGGAUAGGAGCUCCUGCUGCAUGGGGGGGGUUGGAAAGUUUCGGCGGUUGGGGAGGGACUCGCGGCUUAUCAGUCUGUAGGUGGGGUAGUGGCUUACCAAGGAUUUGACGGGUAGCCGGCCGGAGUGGGUGACCGGCCACAUUGGGAAUGGGAUACGGCCCAGACUCCUACGGGCGGCAGAAGUGGGGAAUAUUGCACAAUGGGCGGAAGCCUGAUGCAGCAACGCCGCGUGCGGGAUGCCGGCCUUCGGGUUGUAAACCGCCUGCGCCUGUGACGAAGCGUGAGUGACGGUAAUGGGUAAAGAAGCACCGGCUAACUACGUG